CCUGGGUAGCCCCGGGGGCACUGGCUGCACGUCACCCUUGGCCUUGCCAGGGCCAGGCGUGAGCAGGUCACCCGUUGCCUCCUGUCCAGGCAGGUGUCAAAAAGAAGAGAGGGGGUGGCUGGGCAGCAGGCCUGGGCUGGACGGAGCACUGGGAACCUGUGUGGCCAUCACGUCUGUCUAGGUGGGCCAGGGCCUGUCCUGGCUUCAGUGGCCACCCCAGCCAUGUGCUAGGAGGAGGCACCAAGGGAAGGGGUUCCAGAGGAUCCGUCAGCCAAGACAGAGACUCAGGCUAGAGGUGGGCUCCUGGGGGGGUCUCCAGGUGGGGAGGCUCAGGCUGGGCUACCACCCUGUCUUGUCAGACUUGCUUUAUUUUUUUCCGUGUUGGGGAUUAAGCUGAGCCCAGGGCCUCACAUGCUACGCAAGUGCUCUCCCCGGAGCUACAUCCCCAGGACUUUUAUUUUUUAUUUUGAGAUAGGAUCUCACUAAGUUGCUGAGGCUGGCCUUGAACUUGUGAUCCUCCUGCCUUAGCCUCCCAAGUUGCUGGGAUUACAGGUGUGUGCCACCGCACCUGGAUUACUUGCUUUUAUAUUUUGGUUAAAUACACAACAUGAGGGGCUGGGGAUAAGCUCAGUUGGUAGAGUGCCUCCCUUGCGUGCACAAGGCCCUGGGUUCAGCCCCCAGCACCACACACACACACACACACACACACACACACACCAUGAAAGGCAUCCCUUAGCCAUCCUUAGCAGCACAGUUCCGCAGCAUUAAGCACCUGUGCAGCCCCUGCCACCCCCAUCCCCAGGUCUCCAUCCUCCCAGCUGAGGCUCAGUCCUGAGCACAGCUCCCCUCCCCUCCCAGUCUGGGCACCCCCACUCCGGGGACCUCCCGUGGGUGGGAUUGUGCGGAGCGUCGUCCUCAGGGCCCACCCACCAUGUAGCGGUGUUGGAGUCCUUUGGGGCUGAGUGACAUUCCACAGUGAGCCACAGCUCCUCUGCCCUUCAUGCAGCCAGGGCCACCUGGGUCACGCCCCACAGUGGCUCUCGUGAACAUGGGUGUGUGGGUGUCUCCCUGACCCCGUGGAGUGAGGGAGAGAAGUGUGGCUGCGGGCCGCGACCCUUUGCCUCCCCCACUCCCCACGCACCAGCUACCUCUGGCCGUCCUGCCCACUGCGGUGCUUUCCUGCUGGCCGUGGCUGGGGCCCUUCCCAGGGAGCUGCUCUUGGCCUCACGGUCGCUCGUGGUGGUCUUGCUGCCCACCCUGGACUCCUGUGGGGAGUGCAGGAGCCCCAGGGGCACCUCAUUCAUGUCUGGAGCAGUCGCUCUGGGCCGCCCUGAGCUGAACCUGGGAGGCCCCUGUGGACAUGAGGACAGCCCUGCCUCCUGCACCAGCAGAAAGGCAGAGGACAGGCCGCCGUGUGCGCUGGGCACUCCAAGGCCCGAGCCACAGCCCGUCUGCUGUGGACACAGCACUGUGUGGGCAGGACAGGGUCACCCCGGGGAUGGGCCACCAGGCCGGGGGCCUCUUCAGGACAGACCUGCCAGUCAGGGGCACCGUCAGGUCCUGCCCGUGCAUCCUGGACAGCUGCUCACAAGGCCUGAGGGAGGGCUGUGGACAGCUGAGCUGGCGCGGAUGUCUGCUUCUGACCCUGGUGGUUUGGGCCCGCGGGAGAGUGCUGGGUGACUGCUGCCGCCCGUCUGACCAACACAAGUGGGAGGACAGCAGCAGGUUUUCUCCGUGGCUUGUGAAGGCGCUUGCCCUGCGGCCACCAUGGGAGGCUUCAUGGCCAGGGAAAACCCAUCUGGGGUUGGAGCACCGUCGGCCAGCGGGGCCCAGUUCCAGAUCCAGCCCACGGCAUGCAUGGCUGAUUGACCUGGGACACUAUGAUGUGGGGGUGAGGAGCUGCAUGGUGUCUGCGGGACGUGUGGGGUGAGGGCCAUCAGACAGGCCCUGGUGUGUCAGGGAAGCGUGAGUUGAUUUCCUAGAACACACCAUAGCCCCAGGAGCGUCCAGGCCAAACGGGCUGACCCUCAGGUGGACGCUGUGCCCUACAGCUACCGGCAGCAGAGCCUGCAGGGGAGACAGGAGGGAGAAGGCUGCUGCUCUGGGCUGAGUCCUUACCUGGUUGCUGGCCUUGGUGCUGUGGCCACCCAGAGAGGCUUCGGACAGCUCUGCGGUACCACUCCCCACUGUCCACCUGGAGGUCAGAGGGGUCUUGGGGCCUAGAUGUUCUCAGGUAUGAAACCACAGGGUCCUGACCAGCAGGACCCCAGAUGAGCUCUGGGGCUACUAGCGUGGCACGUGAGGACCCUGGUCACCCUCC
Molecule: long non-coding RNA, 2320 nt
Filed under: Marmota monax (woodchuck)
Lineage: Eukaryota; Metazoa; Chordata; Mammalia; Rodentia; Sciuridae
Source: RNAcentral